Molecule: ribosomal RNA, 253 nt
Filed under: uncultured bacterium
Lineage: Bacteria
Description: partial 16S ribosomal RNA
Rfam family: Bacterial small subunit ribosomal RNA
Source: RNAcentral
UACGUAGGGCGCGAGCGUUAAUCGGAAUUACUGGGCGUAAAGCGUGCGCAGGCGGUGAUGUAAGACCGAUGUGAAAUCCCCGGGCUUAACCUGGGAACUGCAUUGGUGACUGCAUUGCUGGAGUAUGGCAGAGGGGGGUGGAAUUCCACGUGUAGCAGUGAAAUGCGUAGAGAUGUGGAGGAACACCGAUGGCGAAGGCAGCCCCCUGGGCCAAUACUGACGCUCAUGCACGAAAGCGUGGGGAGCAAACAGG